GAUGAACGCUAGCGGGAGGCUUAACACAUGCAAGUCGAGGGGCAUCACGGGUAGCAAUACCUGGUGGCGACCGGCGCAAGGGUGCGUAACGCGUGAGCAACAUGCCCUAUACAGGGGGAUAAUCUAGGGAAACUUGGUCUAAUAUCCCAUAGCAUUUAGAGGUGGCAUCACCAUUAAAUUAAAGCUUCGGUGGUAUAGGAUUGGCUCGCGUGACAUUAGCUAGAUGGUGGGGUAACGGCUCACCAUGGCUAUGAUGUCUAGGGGUUCUGAGAGGAAGACCCCCCACACUGGGACUGAGACACGGCCCAGACUCCUACGGGAGGCAGCAGUGAGGAAUAUUGGACAAUGGAUGGAAAUCUGAUCCAGCCAUGCCGCGUGCAGGAAGACGGCCCUAUGGGUUGUAAAGUGCUUUUUGAAGGGAUGAGGAAGGACAGUACCUUCAGAAUAAGCCUCGGCUAACUACGUG
This 466-nucleotide ribosomal RNA is filed under the name uncultured bacterium. RNAcentral's name for it is "bacterial SSU rRNA". It matches the Rfam family "Bacterial small subunit ribosomal RNA", at positions 28 to 507 of the family's 1533-position model. The record is from RNAcentral.